RNAcentral lists this ribosomal RNA (865 nucleotides) under uncultured bacterium. Its description in RNAcentral is "bacterial SSU rRNA". It matches the Rfam family "Bacterial small subunit ribosomal RNA", at positions 8 to 853 of the family's 1533-position model. The record is from RNAcentral.
AGAGUUUGAUCAUGGCUCAGGACGAACGCUGGCGGCGUGCCUAAUACACUGCAAGUAGAACGCUGAAGACUGGUGCUUGCACUAGUCAGAUGAGUUGCGAACGGGUGAGUAACGCGUAGGUAACCUACCUCAUAGCGGGGGAUAACUAUUGGACAACGAUAGCUAAUACCGCAUGACAAUUAAGUACUCAUGUACUAAAUUUAAAAGGAGCAAUUGCUUCACUAUGAGAUGGACCUGCGUUGUAUUAGCUAGUUGGUGAGGUAACGGCUCACCAAGGCCACGAUACAUAGCCGACCUGGGAGGGUGAUCGGCCACACUGGGACUGAGACACGGCCCAGACUCCUACGGGAGGCAGCAGUAGGGAAUCUUCGGCAAUGGGGGCAACCCUGACCGAGCAACGCCGCGUGAGUGAAGAAGGUUUUCGGAUCGUAAAGCUCUGUUGUUAGAGAAGAACGGUAAUGGGAGUGGAAAAUCCAUUACGUGACGGUAACUAACCAGAAAGGGACGGCUAACUACGUGCCAGCAGCCGCGGUAAUACGUAGGUCUCGAGCGUUGUCCGGAUUUAUUGGGCGUAAAGCGAGCGCAGGCGGUUAUUUAAGUCUGAAGUUAAAGGCCGUGGCUCAACCAUGGUUCGCUUUGGAGACUGGAUAACUUGAGUGCAGAAGGGGAGAGUGGAAUUCCAUGUGUAGCGGUGAAAUGCGUAGAUAUAUGGAGGAACACCGGUGGCGAAAGCGGCUCUCUGGUCUGUAACUGACGCUGAGGCUCGAAAGCGUGGGGAGCAAACAGGAUUAGAUACCCUGGUAGUCCACGCCGUAAACGAUGAGUGCUAGGUGUUAGGCCCUUUCCGGGGCUUAGUGCCGCAGCU